AAGAUAUUAAGUUAAAAUUAAACUAUUAAUUUUCAAAAUUAAAAAUUUUAUUUCUUA
This 57-nucleotide transfer RNA is filed under the name Matsucoccus matsumurae. RNAcentral describes it as "tRNA-Trp". Lineage: Eukaryota; Metazoa; Arthropoda; Insecta; Hemiptera; Margarodidae. The record is from RNAcentral.